This 466-nucleotide ribosomal RNA is filed under the name uncultured bacterium. Its description in RNAcentral is "partial 16S ribosomal RNA". It matches the Rfam family "Bacterial small subunit ribosomal RNA", at positions 28 to 507 of the family's 1533-position model. The record is from RNAcentral.
GACGAACGCUGGCGGCGCGCCUAACACAUGCCAGUCGAACGAGCGAGAGAGAGCUUGCUUUCUCGAGCGAGUGGCGAACGGGUGAGUAACGCGUGAGGAACCUGCCUCAAAGAGGGGGACAACAGUUGGAAACGACUGCUAAUACCGCAUAAGCCCACGGUGCCGCAUGGCACAGAGGGAAAAGGAGCAAUCCGCUUUGAGAUGGCCUCGCGUCCGAUUAGCUAGUUGGUGAGGUAAUGGCCCACCAAGGCGACGAUCGGUAGCCGGACUGAGAGGUUGAACGGCCACAUUGGGACUGAGACACGGCCCAGACUCCUACGGGAGGCAGCAGUGGGAAAUAUUGCACAAUGGGGGAAACCCUGAUGCAGCGACGCCGCGUGGAGGAAGAAGGUCUUCGGAUUGUAAACUCCUGUUGUUGGGGAAGAUAAUGACGGUACCCAACAAGGAAGUGACGGCUAACUACGUG